AGUGAACGCUGGCGGUAGGCCUAACACAUGCAAGUCGAACGGCAGCACAGUAAGAGCUUGCUCUUACGGGUGGCGAGUGGCGGACGGGUGAGGAAUACAUCGGAAUCUACUUUUUCGUGGGGGAUAACGUAGGGAAACUUACGCUAAUACCGCAUACGACCUACGGGUGAAAGCAGGGGAUCUUCGGACCUUGCGCGAUUGAAUGAGCCGAUGUCGGAUUAGCUAGUUGGCGGGGUAAAGGCCCACCAAGGCGACGAUCCGUAGCUGGUCUGAGAGGAUGAUCAGCCACACUGGAACUGAGACACGGUCCAGACUCCUACGGGAGGCAGCAGUGGGGAAUAUUGGACAAUGGGCGCAAGCCUGAUCCAGCCAUACCGCGUGGGUGAAGAAGGCCUUCGGGUUGUAAGGCCCUUUUGUUGGGAAAGAAAAGCAGCAGGUUAAUACCCCGCUGUUCUGACGGUACCCAAAGAAUAGGCACCGGCUAACUUCGUG
This 492-nucleotide ribosomal RNA is filed under the name uncultured bacterium. Its description in RNAcentral is "partial 16S ribosomal RNA". It matches the Rfam family "Bacterial small subunit ribosomal RNA", at positions 29 to 507 of the family's 1533-position model. The record is from RNAcentral.